AUGGAGCCGGUCGUGAAGGUGUACGGGCCAGCCAUGUCUUGGAACAUAGCCAGGGUCCUUGUGAGCCUGGAAGAGUCCGGCGUCAAGUACGAGCUCGUCGCCGUCGACUUCGCCGCGGCCGAGCACAAGAGCGCCGCCCACCUCGCCAGGAACCCAUUCGGUCAGGUCCCAGUUUUGGAGGACGGUGACUUUUGCCUCUGGGAGUCGCGCGCAAUCACGAAAUAUAUAUGCCGAAAGUACAAACCUGAGCUCCUUGGGGUUGGCAAUCUCAAGGGAUCAGCAAUGGUCGAUGUGUGGCUGGAGGUGGGGGCCCACCAAUACUGGCCUCUCAUAGAGGCUAUUCUUAUGGAGAUCAGGAUCCGGCCGAUUUUCGGGCAAAGGGUUGAUGAGAGGGCCGUCGAGGAGAACAUUGACAAGCUGAAGAAGGUGUUGGAUGUGUAUGAGUCCAGAUUGUCUAGCUCCAAGUACCUAGCAGGAGACUUCAUCAGCGGAUCAGCCUCGCCGACCUCAACCACGUCUCCACCAUGCUUUGCCUAG
This 537-nucleotide ribosomal RNA is filed under the name Triticum aestivum (bread wheat). RNAcentral's name for it is "partial small subunit ribosomal RNA". Lineage: Eukaryota; Viridiplantae; Streptophyta; Magnoliopsida; Poales; Poaceae. The record is from RNAcentral.